AACAUCGCGCACCUGCGGGAACCUGCGGAGGGAUCAUUACACAAUACAAUAUGAAGGCUGUCCGCAGCUGGAGUAUUUUAUUACCCUUGUCUUUUGCGCACUUGUUGUUUCCUGGGCGGGUUCGCUCGCCACCAGGACCACCAAAUAAACCUUUUUUAUGCAGUUGCAAUCAGCGUCAGUACAAACAAUGUAAAUCAUUUACAACUUUUAGCAAUGGAUCU
RNAcentral lists this unclassified non-coding RNA (221 nucleotides) under soil metagenome. Its description in RNAcentral is "partial contains 5.8S ribosomal RNA, internal transcribed spacer 2, and large subunit ribosomal RNA". The record is from RNAcentral.